RNAcentral lists this transfer RNA (58 nucleotides) under Chabertia ovina (large-mouth bowel worm). Its description in RNAcentral is "tRNA-Glu". The record is from RNAcentral. Lineage: Eukaryota; Metazoa; Nematoda; Chromadorea; Rhabditida; Strongylidae.
GAGGCUUUAGUAUAAUGUUAGUAUAUUUUAUUUUCAAUAAAAUGGUAAAUAAGUCUAU